UCUCCGUUGGUGAACCAGCGGAGGGAUCAUUACAGAGUUGCAAAACUCCCAAACCAUUUGUUUAUCUACCUGUUUCGUUGCUUCGGCAGGCGGCUCUUCGGGGCCUUUGCUACCUGUAGUGCCUGCCGGAGUAUCCAAAACUCUUGUUAUUUUUGUUCUGUCUGAGUAAACUUUUAAUAGUUAAAACUUUCAACAACGGAUCUCUUGGUUCUGGCAUCGAUGAAGAACGCAGCGAAAUGCGAUAAGUAAUGUGAAUUGCAGAAUUCAGUGAAUCAUCGAAUCUUUGAACGCACAUUGCGCCCAUUAGUAUUCUAGUGGGCAUGCCUGUUCGAGCGUCAUUUCAACCCUCAAGCUCUCUUGCUUGGUGUUGGGGCUUCUGCGGCUUCGGCCGCAGGCCCUGAAAAACAGUGGCGGGCUCGCUAUAACUCCGAGCGUAGUAAUCUCUCUCGCUUUGGAAGUGUGGCGGUUCCCGGCCGUUAAACCCCCCAAUUUCUGAAAUGUUGACCUCGGAUCAGGUAGGAAUACCCGCUGAACUUAA
RNAcentral lists this ribosomal RNA (538 nucleotides) under Phialemonium sp. 695_ICIPE. RNAcentral's name for it is "eukaryotic LSU rRNA". The stretch from base 185 to 338 matches the Rfam family "5.8S ribosomal RNA". Lineage: Eukaryota; Fungi; Ascomycota; Sordariomycetes; Cephalothecales; Cephalothecaceae. The record is from RNAcentral.